UUACGUCCGUAACGAGCGCAACCCUUGUCCUUAGUUACCAGCACGUUAUGGUGGGCACUCUAAGGAGACUGCCGGUGACAAACCGGAGGAAGGUGGGGAUGACGUCAAGUCAUCAUGGCCUUACGGCCUGGGCUACACACGUGCUACAAUGGUCGGUACAAAGGGUUGCCAAGCCGCGAGGUGGAGCUAAUCCCAUAAAACCGAUCGUAGUCCGGAUCGCAGUCUGCAACUCGACUGCGUGAAGUCGGAAUCGCUAGUAAUCGUGAAUCAGAAUGUCACGGUGAAUACGUUCCCGGGCCUU
This 301-nucleotide ribosomal RNA is filed under the name uncultured Pseudomonas sp. RNAcentral describes it as "bacterial SSU rRNA". It matches the Rfam family "Bacterial small subunit ribosomal RNA", at positions 1080 to 1382 of the family's 1533-position model. Lineage: Bacteria; Pseudomonadati; Pseudomonadota; Gammaproteobacteria; Pseudomonadales; Pseudomonadaceae. The record is from RNAcentral.